UUAACUGAAAUUUGUAUGGAGUCGGAACGUUUGCCUACGUUUGCCGCUAGGGGCGCUGUUCCAACUCCAUACCAAUUUAAGUUA
This is a non-coding RNA of Bombyx mori (domestic silkworm), 84 nucleotides long. The record is from Rfam. Lineage: Eukaryota; Metazoa; Arthropoda; Insecta; Lepidoptera; Bombycidae.